CCUACGGGCGGCUGCAGUGAGGCAUAUUGGUCAAUGGACGAGAGUCUGAACCAGCCAAGUAGCGUGAAGGAUGACUGCCCUAUGGGUUGUAAACUUCUUUUAUAUGGGAAUAAAAUGUUCCACGUGUGGGAUUUUGUAUGUACCAUAUGAAUAAGGAUCGGCUAACUCCGUGCCAGCAGCCGCGGUAAUACGGCGGAUCCGAGCGUUAUCCGGAUUUAUUGGGUUUAAAGGGAGCGUAGGUGGAUUGUUAAGUCAGUUGUGAAAGUUUGCGGCUCAACCGUAAAAUUGCAGUUGAAACUGGCAGUCUUGAGGACAGUAGAGGUGGGCGGAAUUCGUGGUGUAGCGGUGAAAUGCUUAGAUAUCACGAAGAACUCCGAUUGCGAAGGCAGUUCACUGGACUGCAACUGACACUGAGGCUCGAAAGUGUGGGUAUCAAACAGGAUUAGAUACCCGAGUAGUC
RNAcentral lists this ribosomal RNA (460 nucleotides) under uncultured bacterium. RNAcentral's name for it is "partial 16S ribosomal RNA". It matches the Rfam family "Bacterial small subunit ribosomal RNA", at positions 338 to 795 of the family's 1533-position model. The record is from RNAcentral.